GACAUGCAGAGUAACUUCAGAGAUGGAUUGGUGCCGUUCGGGAACUCUGACACAGGUGCUGCAUGGCGUGUCGUCAGCUCGUCGUCGUGAGAUGUUGGGUUAAGGUCCCGUAACGAGCGCAACCCUUGUCCUUAGUUACCAGCACGUUAUGGUGGGCACUCUAAGGGAGACUGCCGGUGACAAACCGGAGGAAGGUGGGGAUGACGUCAAGUCAUCAUGGCCCUUACGGCCUGGGCUACACACGUGCUACAAUGGUCGGUACAAAGGGUUGCCAAGCCGCGAGGUGGAGCUAAUCCCAUAAAACCGAUCGUAGUCCGGAUCGCAGUCUGCAACUCGACUGCGUGAAGUCGGAAUCGCUAGUAAUCGUGAAUCAGAAUGUCACGGUGAAUACGUUCCCGGGCCUU
RNAcentral lists this ribosomal RNA (404 nucleotides) under uncultured Pseudomonas sp. RNAcentral describes it as "bacterial SSU rRNA". It matches the Rfam family "Bacterial small subunit ribosomal RNA", at positions 983 to 1382 of the family's 1533-position model. The record is from RNAcentral. Lineage: Bacteria; Pseudomonadati; Pseudomonadota; Gammaproteobacteria; Pseudomonadales; Pseudomonadaceae.